This 460-nucleotide ribosomal RNA is filed under the name uncultured bacterium. RNAcentral's name for it is "partial 16S ribosomal RNA". It matches the Rfam family "Bacterial small subunit ribosomal RNA", at positions 338 to 795 of the family's 1533-position model. The record is from RNAcentral.
CCUACGGGAGGCUGCAGUGAGGAAUAUUGGUCAAUGGACGAGAGUCUGAACCAGCCAAGUAGCGUGAAGGAUGACUGCCCUAUGGGUUGUAAACUUCUUUUAUAUGGGAAUAAAAUGUUCCACGUGUGGGAUUUUGUAUGUACCAUAUGAAUAAGGAUCGACUAACUCCGUGCCAGCAGCCGCGGUAAUACGGAGGAUUCGAGCGUUAUCCGGAUUUAUUGGGUUUAAAGGGAGCGUAGGUGGAUUGUUAAGUCAGUUGUGAAAGUUUGCGGCUCAACCGUAAAAUUGCAGUUGAAACUGGCAGUCUUGAGUACAGUAGAGGUGAGCGGAAUUCGUGGUGUAGCGGUGAAAUGCUUAGAUAUCACGAAGAACUCCGAUUGCGAAGGCAGUUCACUGGACUGCAACUGACACUGAGGCUCGAAAGUGUGGGUAUCAAACAGGAUUAGAUACCCGAGUAGUC